Molecule: signal recognition particle RNA, 300 nt
Filed under: Chelydra serpentina (North American snapping turtle)
Lineage: Eukaryota; Metazoa; Chordata; Testudines; Chelydridae
Description: Metazoan signal recognition particle RNA (ENSCSRG00000010116.1)
Rfam family: Metazoan signal recognition particle RNA
About the family: The signal recognition particle (SRP) is a universally conserved ribonucleoprotein.
Source: Rfam by way of RNAcentral
GCCGGGCGCCGUGGCUGGUGCCUGUGAUCCCAGCGGCGGGGGAGGCUGAGGCCGGCGGAUCGCUUGAGCUUCGGAGUUCUGGGCUGCAGCGGGCUGUGCCGAGCGGGUGUCCGCACUGAGUUCGGCAUCGAUAUGGGGAUCCCGGGGAAGCUCGGGGUCCCCAGGUUGCCUAAGGAGGAGUGAACCGGCCCAGGCCGGGAACGGAGCAGGUCAAAGCUCCCGUGCCGAUCAGUAGUGGGAUCGCGCCUGUGAAUGGCCCCUGGAGCGUAGCCUGGGCGAGACAGUGAGACCCGGUCUCUU